GACUGGAGAGGUGGGGAGGGCGGACGCCUGGCGAUGUGGCCCGCGCUGUGAUCAGGGCGCCCUCUCCCAUCGCCUCCCAGGUUUCUCCGCGGCCAAAGGCAGGCCCUGGGCUAGAACAGCAGCUGACAGACAGCAGAGCCGAGCUGGCGCAGGGGGAGGGGAUGGAAAGCGUGGUGCCCGGGCCCACCUGGGGAGGCAGCGCAUUCAGAGCCCAGUGCGUGCAGCCUGGCAGGCCUGCGGGAGGCGCGCCUGGGCCUGCAGCGCGGUGCCCAGGCCAGGGUGGAUCCCGCCUGCGUCACAGCUCUGCAAAGGGCAUGGCCCUCCCAGCCAUGUCCGCAUCGCCGCCCGUCCUCCCUCGUGAUCUGGACGGACCCUGGGGUCCCUGGGAUGCAGGGGCCACCCUCCCGGCUCCAGGUUCCAACGACAGUCAGGAGACGCUCUAUUGGCCGCGUGUUCCUACCCUCGCAGGCCCCCGUUCAGUUGGUGAGCUCCGUGCCUGUGACCAGGUUGCAGGCAUGAAGCACCUGCGUUUCUCAGACCUUGUACGUGCUCCCCUCAUGGAGCAGGUGAGCAGGAGGUGGUGCCAUGCCUCAUGCAUCCGGCCCGUAUCCGAGGUCUCCUAACUCGACACUUAACGAAGCAGACCCCACUGGUUGAGUCUAUUCUUUGUAGAAUUCUUCAGCAAAGCUGCCCACACAAGUCAAAAUUCAGGAGAGUCCACGGGGAGAGUUAAAUGCUCUGAAUUCCAGGCCUGUCCUACGCACGUAUUUGCCUCUGUAACCUUCACCUACGACCAGUUCCCAGUACCAUGGAUUUCCUACGUCAGUGCAGCGUGUCAAACCGUUACAGACGCCAAAGCUCACUGAGCUCGCAACCCAUGUGCCCAGACCACCUGCCACAGGGGCCGUCUCACUGACGGAGGCGAUGUUCGUGCUGCCGCCCAGGAGCCAGCGCUUCGAGACCGCAGAUUUAAGUCGUGCUGCCUGAUGUCCGACCUCAAUUACAGCUGUCAUUGGGCUAAAUACACCCAAGAAAAUACCCUCUAAUGAGGAAGCUGCAUAGCCUUGGGCCUGUCGCCGCCCCUCCGGUGCCUCAGUCUCUCCAUCUGCGGGGUGAAGGCAGCAGCUCUCCUUGCGGAAGUUGAGGCGUCACACCUGUGUCGGGAGCCCCGUGAAAGGCUGUGUAAACGUCCAGGCCCCCAUUUCUCCGGUCCCCGCACUGAACCAAGGCUCGGGGUCCCUGGGCAGGAUCCCCCGUGGCCUUGCACUCCGAGAAGGAGCGUCUAAAGGUGGAGCAGGGAGCAGCUUUGACCAGAGAGAGACCUGGAGGAGAGGGUCCCACACCUGCGGGGAGAAAUCACGGCGGGCAGGUAGGAAGCGGCGUGCUCUGCAGGAAGAAAUGAAAGAAACCAGGCGGCACUGAAAGCCGCGCUGAUUGUUGGAGCGAUGAGCGGCGCAACGUCAAUGUCAGGGGGUGUUGGAUCCUCACGUCCCCACAGGGAACCGGGGGAAGGUUCUGGCUGUGGGGGUGGCUGGCCAGCUCCUUGGUGCAGGUCUCCGAGGGGCUAUGGCCCGGCUGCUGGACCCAGGGGUGGGCUGCUAGGGAACGAGGGUGCAGCCAUCCUGUGUGCGAAAUGCUAGAGUCCAGCCCGCGUGGCUCAGUGGUUGAGUGUUGACCUAUGAACCAGGAGGCCACGGUUC
Molecule: long non-coding RNA, 1700 nt
Organism: Myotis brandtii (Brandt's bat)
Lineage: Eukaryota; Metazoa; Chordata; Mammalia; Chiroptera; Vespertilionidae
Exons: 3
Source: RefSeq, a predicted model, not a curated record